Molecule: long non-coding RNA, 967 nt
Filed under: Coturnix japonica (Japanese quail)
Lineage: Eukaryota; Metazoa; Chordata; Aves; Galliformes; Phasianidae
Description: lncRNA (ENSCJPG00005018430.1)
Source: RNAcentral
CAUUGACAGGUAUCUGAUUUAAUGGAAACUAUCAGGCAAGCUAAAAGUUGAGGUAGUUAUCAUCUCUUGUAUAAUAAUCACUGACACCAAGUAUUCUCUUGAAAUCUAUUUGCUUAAGAAUAAUACCCAAGAUUGAAAUGAUGGAUGCAAAAUGAAACUAUUAUAUCCAGAUGACGAGAAAUAAGAGCAUACUAUGUAAAAGGGCUAGGUGAAGCGCCACAAUAAAAAGCUUUAACAAAACAAUAACUUUGGUACUCUGAAGAUCACAAAGAAGUGAAGACAAUUACAAUCUAGAAAUAUGAAGCAACUUUUUAAUGCUUCCUUUUAUGCCAUGAGCUGCAGAAAAGCAAUAGAGCAGCUCCCACAUGAGAUGAAGAUGAAGGAACAGGAAAGAAAAACAAGAAACCAGUGUGGUGUGUUUGUUCAAUCUCCAAUGAAACCAUUCCCAACUAUGGCAUGGGACAAAGGCAAUAGCAAUAACAGCUGAAUUUCUCUGAGAUGUGCUGUUGCAAGUGCUUACGUGGAGGAGGUCUGGGUCCUGCUGUAGAAAUCCCUAGGGAGCAGAAUGACUCUAAUUUUCUGGCUUUCUCAUCUGCCCCCCUACUCACAUAAUUACAACUCAAGCCAUUUUUUGGAAAAAAAGUAGAUGUAUAUCACUGCAGACUUAUGUCUUACAGCAAGAUUUGAAAGCAAAGGGGAAUUUCUACAAGAGAAAUUGUAUCACCUUGGGUAGGAUCAACUCCUUCAUUUGCAGCCAGGUUCAAAAAUCUUUCGUCUAAAGACUGAUUCCUAUUGGCAUCAGAGGAAUUGAAAAUUAAUUAUGUCCACAGUGAGAAACUGUAGAACUAGCGGGAAGAAAACCAGUAAAGUUGUUUUCUGAGCGGCCUUGGGGAAAACAGUGGGAAGUUGCUGGUGAGUGGAGCUUUUCAAGAAUAAAAAGGACACUCAAAAUCCCUAAUUAACUUUA